Molecule: long non-coding RNA, 295 nt
Filed under: Elaeis guineensis (African oil palm)
Lineage: Eukaryota; Viridiplantae; Streptophyta; Magnoliopsida; Arecales; Arecaceae
Description: long non-coding RNA (EGUI_LNC037556)
Source: RNAcentral
GGUCUGAGGGUGUCCAGCUUAUAUCAAGCAUUUAAAGAUAGAUAAGCUUGGAUCGAAGUCUGAUAGAUGCUUGUUCGUAGGAUACCCAAAAAAAACUAAAAGGUACUAAAAAGGUGUUUGUUAGCAGUCGGGAAAUCUUUUUGAAAAAAAAGUUCCUUGGUGAAGGAGCUAAUGCUUGUAAAAUUGAACUUGAUGAAGUUCAUGAGGUAAAAGGAUUGACACAUACAGAAUUGGGUUUGAUUGGUGAAUCGAAUCUAGAGCUAGUAGAGGCACCAUUAAGGAGAUCCGGUAGAGA